RNAcentral lists this ribosomal RNA (219 nucleotides) under uncultured bacterium. Its description in RNAcentral is "partial 16S ribosomal RNA". It matches the Rfam family "Bacterial small subunit ribosomal RNA", at positions 524 to 741 of the family's 1533-position model. The record is from RNAcentral.
UACGUAGGGCGCAAGCGUUGUCCGGAAUUAUUGGGCGUAAAGAGCUCGUAGGCGGUUUGUCGCGUCUGCUGUGAAAACCUAAGGCUCAACCUUGGGCUUGCAGUGGGUACGGGCAGACUAGAGUGCGGUAGGGGUGACUGGAAUUCCUGGUGUAGCGGUGGAAUGCGCAGAUAUCAGGAGGAACACCGAGUGGCGAAGGCAGGUCACUGGGCCGCAACU